This 77-nucleotide transfer RNA is filed under the name Gallionellaceae bacterium. Its description in RNAcentral is "tRNA-Leu". It matches the Rfam family "tRNA". From Rfam's summary of the family: Transfer RNA (tRNA) molecules are approximately 80 nucleotides in length. Their secondary structure includes four short double-helical elements and three loops (D, anti-codon, and T loops). Lineage: Bacteria; Pseudomonadati; Pseudomonadota; Betaproteobacteria; Nitrosomonadales; Gallionellaceae. The record is from RNAcentral.
GGCUCUCUGGCGCAACGGGCAGACGCGCUGGUCUUAGAAACCAGAUGUUCCGAGUUCGAAUCUCGGGGGAGCUACCA